This 253-nucleotide ribosomal RNA is filed under the name uncultured bacterium. RNAcentral's name for it is "partial 16S ribosomal RNA". It matches the Rfam family "Bacterial small subunit ribosomal RNA", at positions 524 to 776 of the family's 1533-position model. The record is from RNAcentral.
UACGUAGGGUGCAAGCGUUAAUCGGAAUUACUGGGCGUAAAGGGUUCGUAGGUGGCCAACUAAGUCAUACGUGAAAUCCCUCAGCUUAACUGGGGAACUGCGUCUGAUACUGGUUGGCUUGAGUGCAGGAGAGGAACGCGGAAUUCCAGGUGUAGCGGUGAAAUGCGUAGAUAUCUGGAGGAACACCGGUGGCGAAGGCGGCGUUCUGGACUGCAACUGACACUGAGGAACGAAAGCCAGGGGAGCAAACGGG